UAGAAAUUUUAAGGUUAAUAAAAAAGCUUCUAACUUUAUUUAAGGUGGUUCAAUUCCAUCAAUUUCUUU
This 69-nucleotide transfer RNA is filed under the name Glossiphonia complanata. RNAcentral describes it as "tRNA-Ser". It matches the Rfam family "tRNA". From Rfam's summary of the family: Transfer RNA (tRNA) molecules are approximately 80 nucleotides in length. Their secondary structure includes four short double-helical elements and three loops (D, anti-codon, and T loops). Further hydrogen bonds mediate the characteristic L-shaped molecular structure. tRNAs have two regions of fundamental functional importance: the anti-codon, which is responsible for specific mRNA codon recognition, and the 3' end, to which the tRNAs corresponding amino acid is attached (by aminoacyl-tRNA synthetases). tRNAs cope with the degeneracy of the genetic code in two manners: having more than one tRNA (with a specific anti-codon) for a particular amino acid; and 'wobble' base-pairing, i.e. permitting non-standard base-pairing at the 3rd anti-codon position. The record is from RNAcentral. Lineage: Eukaryota; Metazoa; Annelida; Clitellata; Rhynchobdellida; Glossiphoniidae. RNAcentral also lists the same sequence under 1 other name.